UGCUGUUUAUUGGUACACAAACUUCUACAAACCUUUAUAAACUUCUACAAAAAAUCAUCAAACCACGUGCUGUUUAUUGGUACACAAACUUCUACAAACCUUUAUAAACUUCUACAAAAAAUCAUCAAACCACGUGAGACAGUGCUGUUUAUUGGUACACAAACUUCUACAAACCUUUAUAAACUUCUACAAAAAAUCAUCAAACCACGUGAGACAGUGCUGUUUAUUGACAUACGAAAUUCUACAGACUAUAGGAAACAUCAUUAAACAGCGUGAAACAGUGUUAUACAACAUUACAAACACACCUUGCACGAUAUUUGUCGUGACACAUCCUGUUCCGAGUGUAAUCGAGCGAACCGUCGAAAUCAUGCGCUAAUUUAACCAUCAGCCCUGUCCAACGCGAAAUUCUGAGCCACCUGUCUAAU
Molecule: long non-coding RNA, 425 nt
Organism: Bombus terrestris (buff-tailed bumblebee)
Lineage: Eukaryota; Metazoa; Arthropoda; Insecta; Hymenoptera; Apidae
Exons: 4
Source: RefSeq, a predicted model, not a curated record